Molecule: ribosomal RNA, 477 nt
Filed under: uncultured bacterium
Lineage: Bacteria
Description: partial 16S ribosomal RNA
Rfam family: Bacterial small subunit ribosomal RNA
Source: RNAcentral
AUGAACGCUGGCGGCGUGCCUAACACAUGCAAGUCGAACGGAGUCCAGCCUUUAAGACCUUCGGGUCAAAGAGGGGAAGACUGAGUGGCGGACGGGUGAGUAACACGUGGGCAACCUGGCUCAUAGAGGGGGAUAACAGAGAGAAAUUUCUGCUAAUACCGCAUAAGCACACACUGCCGCAUGGCAGAGGGUGAAAAGAGAAUCGCUAUGAGAUGGACCCGCGUCUGAUUAGCCAGUUGGCAGGGUAAGAGCCUACCAAAGCGACGAUCAGUAGCCGAUCUGAGAGGAUGGACGGCCACAUUGGGACUGAGACACGGCCCAAACUCCUACGGGAGGCAGCAGUGGGGGAUAUUGCACAAUGGGGGGAACCCUGAUGCAGCGACGCCGCGUGAGUGAAGAAGUAUUUCGGUAUGUAAAGCUCUAUCAGCAGGGAAGAUAAUGACAGUACCUGAAUAAGAAGCCCCGGCUAACUACGUG